Long non-coding RNA from Stylophora pistillata, 1487 nucleotides. The record is from RefSeq and is a predicted model, not a curated record. Lineage: Eukaryota; Metazoa; Cnidaria; Anthozoa; Scleractinia; Pocilloporidae.
ACUAGCAGUGUUAGGCGUUGUCAAAACCUGAAGCAUAUUCCAUGUUAUCAUCCACGUAGAAAACAAAGAAAAACAAUUACACCCACAAGUUAACAUGCAUCUGGUGAAAGUUGUUUUCUUUUCAGCAACUGUACAAGUUGGUUUAUCUUUGACGUGUUAUACUUGCCAUUCUUCCUCAAACUGGACUCAAUGUGAUACAAGUCGAACAAAAUACGUUUGCGAGCCCUGGUUGGAUGUUUGCACUAAGACAAGAGCAACUUUCGACAUCCAGGGAAACAAAUUUGAUGUUUACGAGCGCGGAUGUUUUGUAGGCGAUUUUUGUAACACAGUGGCUUGCAAGCAUAUUGGCCAAGCCGAAAACUGUGAUAUCACGUGCUGCGACUACGAUUUGUGCAACGAUACUGCCUUGCUAACAUCAAAUAAGAUUUUCAUCGUUGUUCCAGUGAUUUUCAUCUUCUUCGGGUAUGCUGCUGAUUGAUCGCAACCAAUCCAAGCCAACGAUGGUGAUUAUAACUUCUGCACUUUGAUAUUUAGGAAUUUUAUUAAAUGCUGGCGGUAACAUGUUACUUAGUCGUCUAGCGGGCUACGUUGGACUUUGGACUUUGUUCAAGAAAUUAUUCAUGACUUAAGUUAAAGGCAUGUUCUGCCACUCUUGGCAAGAGAUUUUUGUGUUCACACUCGUGUUUGUAAUUCAAGGCCAUAGAGAGAGGGGGAGUAAGUGCUUGAAAAUGUAUGUCCGAAAAGAUGCUGAGCAAAUCACCGCAGAGAUGUUGUUGACUGGGGACAAUGCAUUACAAAAGGAGCCAUAAGGGACCUACUGAUCUGUUGAUAUGUACGUCUUGCUAUUUAAACAUAGCGACCCCAUAUUUAAGGCGAGAAAGAUUUCUACGAUCAAAACAAUGUGCUCACGGCAAUUUUAUUUUAUCGGCAUUUUUAACGCGAUGUGUUUUUUUGUAGCAAACACGUGAGGAUAAGAUAGUUAUGGAAUUUUUAUUGAACUGAUAAGUAACAUUCAAGCUCAUGAGUUGGUGGGAUUAAAAUUGAACGAAAAGAGUUACAGUAAUUGAUGAACGUGUCCCCGAGUAGGAAAUUACUCUAAGAAAUUGGACAAAUUGCUGUCCUCGAAUAUUUGUAUUAAGUCUGAAGAGCACGAGAAGAGCUCGCAUAAGGCAUAGGUAAGUUCCUUCCGCACGUCCUUUACCUAGCCUUUUUUUGCACCUUUAUGAUAAAUGGGAUUUCUGGAGUCAAGAAUUAUCACAAACUUAUCUAGCAUCAAAUAACUGAAGGGCUUUGUAUGGUCGAGUAUUGAUUUGCAUGUAGAGUUACACCUUGACAAUGACCAAGACAACUUUGCAUUGACGCCAAUAGGUUUAUUGAUUUUUCACCAAAUAUAUAGGACAUAUUAAUAAAAAUGAGACCCUCCUUUGUAUAUAAUUUUAGCCACAAUAUCUGACCAGACGAUUAAAAAUAAAAGGAAUCAAAUCGUA